CCCAUGUCCUAUCAGCUUGUUGGUGAGGUAACGGCUCACCAAGGCGACGACGGGUACCGGGACUGAGAGGUUGACCCGGCGCAUCGGGACUGAGACACUGCCCGGACUCCUACGGGAGGCUGCAGUAACGAAUAUUCCGCAAUGGGCGAAAGCCUGACGGAGCGACGCCGCGUGUGGGAGGAAGCCCUUCGGGGUGUAAACCACUGUCAGGGAUUACCAAGCAAAGUUGGCGAAUAGCCUUCUGCGUUGAGGCGUCCCAGAGGAAGCCACGGCUAACUUCGUGCCAGCAGCCGCGGUAAUACGAAGGUGGCGAGCGUUGUUCGGAAUCACUGGGCUUAAAGGGCACGCAGGCGGACUGUCAAGCGUCUUGUGAAAGCCCCCGGCUUAACCGGGGAAUUGCUGGGCGAACUGGCAGUCUUGAGGCAGGUAAGGGCGAGUGGAACUCUUGGUGGAGCGGUGGAAUGCGUAGAUAUCAAGAGGAACGCCGGAGGCGAAAGCGACUCGCUGGGCCUGACCUGACGCUGAGGUGCGAAAGCCAGGGGAGCGAACGGGAUUAGAUACCCCGGUAGUCCUGGCCAUAAACGAUGUCCACUAGAUCGGUGAACUUCUGACAGUGCGCCGGUCGAAACAAAAGCGUUAAGUGGACCGCCUGGGGAGUACGGUCGCAAGGCUAAAACUCAAAGGAAUUGACGGGGGCUCACACAAGCGGUGGAGCAUGUUGCUUAAUUCGAUGCAGCGCGAAGAACCUUAUCCUGGGCUUGACAUGGUAGGAUGCCUCCCUGGAAACAGGGUUGGUUGCCCUUCGGGGUGAAACUAUCACAGGUGCUGCAUGGCUGUCGUCAGCUCGUGUCGUGAGAUGUUGGGUUAAGUCCCGUAACGAGCGAAACCCUUGUCGUUAGUUGCCAGCGCGUAAUGGCGGGGACUCUAGCGAGACUGCCGGUGUUAAACCGGAGGAAGGUGGGGAUGACGUCAAGUCCUCAUGGCCUUUAUGUCCAGGGCUGCAAACGUGCUACAAUGGCGUGUACAAACCGACGCAAGACCGCGAGGUGGAGCAAAUCGGAAAAAGCACGCCCCAGUUCGGAUUGGAGUCUGCAACUCGACUCCAUGAAGUCGGAAUCGCUAGUAAUCGCGUAUCAGCUCGACGCGGUGAAUGUGUUCCUGAGCAUUGUACACACCGCCCGUCAAGUCAUGGAAGCCGGGAGCGCCCGAAGUCGGC
Molecule: ribosomal RNA, 1216 nt
Filed under: uncultured organism
Description: bacterial SSU rRNA
Rfam family: Bacterial small subunit ribosomal RNA
Source: RNAcentral